Triticum dicoccoides is the source of this 596-nucleotide long non-coding RNA. RefSeq lists it as uncharacterized. NCBI's taxonomy places the organism in Eukaryota, Viridiplantae, Streptophyta, Magnoliopsida, Poales, Poaceae. The transcript is spliced from 3 exons. The record is from RefSeq and is a predicted model, not a curated record.
UAUAGUUGUUGGGAUUUGGGGUGGCAACUUGAUUGAGAACUCAUAUAGGUGGUCAACAACUGAAGGCAAUAAAUCUAUUGUCCUUGCCACUAUGCUUCGUAAGGAUUGCAAAUACGGAAAUCUAGAAACUUCAAAUUACACCAUUCUUGCAUUCAACCCGGAUCAUACUGCAGCACGCGCACUUGAUGAUAUUCGCCAGAAAAUAAUAGGUGGGUUGAUUGAUAUGAAGUUUGUUCACCAAUUUAUUGAGUGGAGGUGAGCUUUCCUAGCAAGCGAGUUGUCUACAAAGGAUCCCGACACAGGAUGUAUACAAAGAAAGCUCGGCGCAUGUAGUAAGAUAGUAGACAUUGGUUAUGCCUAUUAUAGGAUGUAUACAAAGAAAGCUCGGCGCAUGUAGUAAGAUAGUAGACAUUGGUUAUGCCUAUUACGCAUGAUUGUGUGUUUCAAUUUGUAAGUGUAGUUAUCACGUACUUGUUUUGUAUCUACUAUGUAGGUGACUGUUUCGUCAUGUUUGUUUGUGUCUAUGGUGUUUUAAGGGAUGUGCUAAUUUCACGGAUGAUUUAGUUAUUAUCUACAUUUAAAAACAAGUUUGUCCA